AUAGUUCAGCACUAAGUCACUUUGUCUUCAUGGCAAAUGUGAGAUGCAGUGUAUGGAAUGUCAAAUUUCUAGUAUGAGAAAUUAACGAUUUAAGUCCUUCUUAAAUGAGGCCAUUUACCCAAAGAGGGUGCCAGGCCCGUAUAACGUUAAUGAUUACUAGAUGACAUUUCCAAAGAGUCGUGUUGCUUGAUAGUGCAGCACUAAGUGGGUGGUAAACUCCAUCUAAAACUAAAUAUAACCAUGAGACCGAUAGUAAACAAGUACCGUGAGGGAAAGUUGAAAAGAACUCUGAAUAGAGAGUUAAAUAGUACGUGAAACUGCUUAGAGGUUAAGCCCGAUGAACCUGAAUAUCCAUUAUAGAAAAUUCAUCAUUAUGAUUUUAAUAUUUAUAAUAUUAUAAUAAUGGUGUGCAUUUUUUCUAUAAAAGGACAUUGUAAUCUAUUAACAUAAAUUAUAUUUAUCAUAAGAUCAUUUCGCGUAAGUUUAUUCAAAUUAUUUUGCUUGCAAUUUAAUAUCGAAUAAAUGCAUUUGAUUUGAUAAAGUGUUGAUAGAUUUAUUAUAUAUAGUGCUUAAAUAUAUAUACAUAUAUUUUAUAAUAGCAUAUAAAUCAUUGAUUUUUAUGUUUAUUUAUAUGCACUUAUAUGAUUAACAAUGCGAAAGAUUCAGGAUACCUUCGGGACCCGUCUUGAAACACGGACCAAGGAGUCUAACAUAUUUGCAAGUUAUUGGGUAUAAAAACCUAAUAGCGAAAUUAACAUAACUUAUAAUGGGAUUAGUUUUUAGCCUAUUUUUAUAGUCUAUUAAUUCAAUCCCGGGGCGUUCUAUACAGUUAUGUAUAAUAAUAUUUAUAUUAUUUAUACCUCUAACUAGAGCGUNCCUUGAGCAUAUAUGCUGUGACCCGAAAGAUGGUGAACUAUACUUGAUCAGGUUGAAGUCAGGGGAAACCCUGAUGGAAGACCGAAACAGUUCUGACGUGCAAAUCGAUUGUCAGAAUUG
Molecule: ribosomal RNA, 996 nt
Filed under: Stevenia atramentaria
Lineage: Eukaryota; Metazoa; Arthropoda; Insecta; Diptera; Rhinophoridae
Description: eukaryotic LSU rRNA
Rfam family: Eukaryotic large subunit ribosomal RNA
Source: RNAcentral